RNAcentral lists this ribosomal RNA (440 nucleotides) under uncultured bacterium. RNAcentral's name for it is "partial 16S ribosomal RNA". It matches the Rfam family "Bacterial small subunit ribosomal RNA", at positions 338 to 795 of the family's 1533-position model. The record is from RNAcentral.
CCUACGGGUGGCAGCAGUGGGGAAUAUUGCACAAUGGGGGAAACCCUGAUGCAGCAACGCCGCGUGAGUGAUGACGGCCUUCGGGUUGUAAAGCUCUAUCAUCAGGGAAGAUAAUGACGGUACCUGAGGAGGAAGCCCCGGCUAACUACGUGCCAGCAGCCGCGGUAAUACGUAGGGGGCGAGCGUUAUCCGGAUUUACUGGGCGUAAAGGGAGCGUAGGCGGCCGUUUAAGUCAGAUGUGAAAUACCCGGGCUUAACUCGGGUGCUGCAUUUGAAACUGGAAGUCUAGAGUGCAGGAGAGGAGAAUGGAAUUCCUAGUGUAGCGGUGAAAUGCGUAGAGAUUAGGAAGAACACCAGUGGCGAAGGCGAUUCUCUGGACUGUAACUGACGCUGAGGCUCGAAAGCGUGGGGAGCAAACAGGAUUAGAUACCCUAGUAGUC